RNAcentral lists this ribosomal RNA (403 nucleotides) under fungal endophyte. RNAcentral describes it as "eukaryotic LSU rRNA". The stretch from base 68 to 221 matches the Rfam family "5.8S ribosomal RNA". The record is from RNAcentral. Lineage: Eukaryota; Fungi.
GCGCGGCGCCCCCGGAGGCUCUCAAACACUGCGUUAAUUACGUCGGAGUCUCAAGUAAAUUGAACAAAACUUUCAACAACGGAUCUCUUGGUUCUGGCAUCGAUGAAGAACGCAGCGAAAUGCGAUAAGUAAUGUGAAUUGCAGAAUUCAGUGAAUCAUCGAAUCUUUGAACGCACAUUGCGCCCCCUGGUAUUCCGGGGGGCAUGCCUGUUCGAGCGUCAUUUCACCACUCAAGCCUGGCUUGGUAUUGGGCGCCGCGUGUACCGCGCGCCUUAAAGUCUCCGGCUGAGCUGUCCGUCUCCUAGCGUUGUGAUACAUAUUCGCUACGGGUGCCGGGCGGCCGCGGCCGUUAAACUUCUUUCAAGGUUGACCUCGGAUCAGGUAGGGAUACCCGCUGAACUUA